This 522-nucleotide ribosomal RNA is filed under the name uncultured bacterium. Its description in RNAcentral is "bacterial SSU rRNA". It matches the Rfam family "Bacterial small subunit ribosomal RNA", at positions 791 to 1329 of the family's 1533-position model. The record is from RNAcentral.
UAGUCCACGCCCUAAACGAUGUAUACUCGGCGUUUGAUCUUCGGAUUGGGCGCCCAAGGGAAACCAUUAAGUAUACCACCCGGGGAGUACGUUCGCAAGAUUAAAACUCAAAGAAAUUGACGGGGGCCCGCACAAGCGGUGGAGCAUGUGGUUUAAUUCGAAGCAACGUGCAGAACCUUACCUACCCUUGACAUGCCGGUCGCGAUUUCCAGAGAUGGAUUUCUUCAAUUCGGUUGGACCGUGCACAGGUGCUGCAUGGCCGUCGUCAGCUCGUGUCGUGAGAUGUUGGGUUAAGUCCCGCAACGAGCGCAACCCUCACUGUUAGUUGCCAGCAUUUAGUUGGGCACUCUAGCGGAACUGCCGGUGCUAAGCCGGAGGAAGGUGGGGAUGACGUCAGGGUCCUCAUGGGCCCUUACGGGGUAGGGGCUACACACGUGCUACAAUGGCGCUGACAGAGGGGUUAAUCCCUAAAAGGCGUCUCAGUUCGGGAUUGUCCUCUGCAACUCGAGGGCAUGAAGUUGG